This 554-nucleotide ribosomal RNA is filed under the name uncultured bacterium. Its description in RNAcentral is "bacterial SSU rRNA". It matches the Rfam family "Bacterial small subunit ribosomal RNA", at positions 104 to 651 of the family's 1533-position model. The record is from RNAcentral.
UGGUGAGUAACAGGUGGGUAAUGUGCCCUGAAGUGGGGGAUAACACCGGGAAACCGGUGCUAAUACCGCAUGUGAUCAUCGAAACCCUGGUUUUGAUGGUUAAAGUAGCAAUACGCUUCAGGAUCGGCCCGCCCCCGAUUAGCUAGUUGGUGAGGUCAUGGCUCACCAAGGCGACGAUCGGUAGCUGGUCUGAGAGGAUGGUCAGCCACACUGGGACUGAGAUACGGCCCAGACUCCUACGGGGGGCAGCAGUCUAGAGGCUUCGGCAAUGGGGGCAACCCUGACCGAGCGACGCCGCGUGUGGGAUUGAAGGCCUUCGGGUCGUAAACCACUGUCAUUGGGAAAGAAUGCCCGGAUGGCGAAUCCGGGAGAGACGGUACCCAAGAAGGAAGCCCCGGCUAACUCCGUGCCAGCAGCCGCGGUAAUACGGAGGGGGCAAGCGUUGUUCGGAUUUACUGGGCGUAAAGGGUGUGUAGGCGGUUGCGUAAGUCUGGUGUGAAAUCUUCACCGCUUAACGGGAAGAGGUCACUGGAAACUGCGUAACUCGGGUAUGG